UACGAGGGGUCCAAGCGUUGUUCGGAAUUACUGGGCGUAAAGCGGGUGUAGGCGGCCGCGCUAGUCGGAUGUGAAAGCCCUGGGCUCAACCCAGGAAGUGCAUCCGAUACUGCGUGGCUUGAGUACUGGAGAGGGAUGCGGAAUUCCUGGUGUAGCGGUGAAAUGCGUAGAUAUCAGGAGGAACAUCGGUGGCGAAGGCGGCAUCCUGGCCAUGUACUGACGCUCAGACCCGAAAGCGUGGGGAGCAAAC
RNAcentral lists this ribosomal RNA (250 nucleotides) under uncultured bacterium. RNAcentral describes it as "partial 16S ribosomal RNA". It matches the Rfam family "Bacterial small subunit ribosomal RNA", at positions 524 to 773 of the family's 1533-position model. The record is from RNAcentral.